GUCAUGUACAUAUUAGUUUUAAUAUUAUUAAUUUUAUGAAUGUUAACAGUUACAUUGCAGUUUCAGGGAUAUCGUUUCAUAUUUGGAUAUUUAUGGAUAUGUGUAUAUUAACAGUCACUUUGCAUUGCAGGUAUAAUAUUUCUUAUUUAUAGUAAUGAAUGUUUUUUAUCAACAGGUCUGUUCAUUUUGAAACUGACUAUACUCAUCUUAAAGCAUGUCUAUUAAUAGCUAUGUAGUCAGUGCUAUUCUAGUUUAAUUAAGGGUGGUUAGGUAGGGUCAUUACAUUAUUAUGUGCCCUCAGUUGAUCCAAUCUGAUUGGAUCAUUCAAACUCUUGCCCUCUUUUACUAAUUCAAAUCUUCACUUCACUGUCACUGCUUGCACCGACAAGACGUUUAUCCAUGUUGGAAUAUCUACUUUAUAAGAUCACCACAGGUCAGUUUAAUCUUUUAUAUCAAUUAAUCAGUGUGUAUACCUUUAAAUGUUAUAUUGUUAAUGCUUAUGUGUAAAUAUAAACUGUAACUUGUGUGUAAGUGUAAAAGUUAGGUUUAGCUUGUUAGGGUCACUAAGCUAAAUUGCAAUCCAAUAAUCUUUUAGUAUCCAAAUAAAUGAUUCAGUUCAUUAAAGUGUUUUCUCUAUCUUAUGAGUGAAUGGUUAUAUAUUUGCACGUUUGACGGAUUAAUUUUAUAAAUGAGAGAAAGUAUAGUGUGUAUGUGAAUGUAAAUAUGACUGCGAUAUAAGUUUGAACUGCUUAUAUUAUAUCCUAGGUGUUUGAAGUGACAGAAUAUAUACAUAUAGUUUAAGCUAUUGCAGCUUUAACGUUGUUCAUUGUUUAUACAGAUUGUACGUACGCUUGACUGGCUUGGCGGCUUGACAGGGCUGUAAUCUGCACCCUAGUGCCAUACACCGGGGUGUUGUUAAUAUUGGAAUAAAAGGUCUCACCCCCGUAA
This is a long non-coding RNA of Haliotis rubra (blacklip abalone), 948 nucleotides long. RefSeq lists it as uncharacterized. NCBI's taxonomy places the organism in Eukaryota, Metazoa, Mollusca, Gastropoda, Lepetellida, Haliotidae. The transcript has 2 exons. The record is from RefSeq and is a predicted model, not a curated record.